This is an RNA transcript of Triticum dicoccoides, 2363 nucleotides long. RefSeq lists it as uncharacterized. The transcript has 6 exons. NCBI's taxonomy places the organism in Eukaryota, Viridiplantae, Streptophyta, Magnoliopsida, Poales, Poaceae. The record is from RefSeq and is a predicted model, not a curated record.
CGCACCACCUCCGCCUCCGCGAGCGUCACCAACCCUCUGCCUCCGCCUCCGCCUCCUCCGCCGCCGGUUUCAGCCCAGAGCAGCUUGAGGCGCGAAAACCCCACGGUCUCGCCGUCGUCGGCGCGCUUCGCGAGUCGCGGGCGGCUGCCUACCGCGGCCACGGUCGCACCUAGGCCCCCGGAAGCAUCCCAAGGCCUCCGCGUCCGCCUCCCCUCCCCCUCCGCCGUCAUCGACCCGUAAGGAGCUUGAGGUGCGAAACCCUAAGACGCACGGCCUCGCCGUCGGCGCGCUUCGCCAGCGCGGGCGGCUGUCUGCCGCGAGCACGGCCGCGACUAGGCCCCCGGAAGCAGCAACUUUACAGAGAUCGAGCCUAGCAGGUCCAAUCACUGCCGAGAUGGCGCACCGACCGACUCAGAGGAAGAGGCAGCGGAAGAAGCUGGCCAAACUGAACCGCAAGCUUAGAGCAGAGCAGCUUAGAGCAGAGCAUCUUAGAGCAGAGCAGAGGAGGUUGGUGGCCACGCCCUCACUGAAGUUAUGUUUCUUGAUGCUGGUAGGGUGGGUGUGGCGGUCAAAGUAUGAGGUGGAAUCUGGCAAGAGGCAUGGACAGCCCACAAGAAGGAGGCAGCACCGCAAGUGGAGGGCGGUGCAGACAGUGUCUGAUCGACCUGUGAUGAGUUCUUUCCUGUUCCCAUUGAUCAUCUUGCUCCUGAUGCUCCUGGUGCUGGCGCGGUUCGUACCACCCGAGUGGCUGCCGAAGUUUAUGGCCUGGCUUCUGCCUUGGAUGUCAUCUAUUCUACCAGUCGCAGUACUGGUGCCAAUGUUUCUACACUUUCUUUCUGGUUGGCCAAUGGAGCAAGCUCAGCUCCUGCUGAUUGCCAUAUGGCCACAAUGGGCGCUUACCCUUUUGUUGAGCGAGGAAAAGUCUUUGGAGGAUUAUGUGCGUGCCAAUGCUGUCACUGUAGAGUACAAAUUGAGUGCUAAUGAAGACAAAGAUGCUGUACUUCUUUCAACUAAAGUUGGGAUGGAUCUCUGGUCUGGCUUCAUUGAAGUGAUCAUUAAAGCAUACCGAUGUAACAAAAGUUGGGGAGGUGGGUUCUCAUCGGAGGAUCUGAGGAUGUCCGGCCAUCGCUGCCGAAUCAGUUUGAACCCUACCUUCCCAGCCUCGUUCCCAAAUCUACUUAGUGAUUUUGCAAAGCUGGCCCAUCUGUUAAUCUAUGUUUUUAAAGCGUCCCUAAGGCGACGCCUAGGCGACGCCUAGGCGUCGAAGCGCUCCCCCUCCGCUUUGGAAAAUCGACCGCUUUGGGCGCCUAGGCGUCCAAAGCGCCCGCCUAGGCGUCGCCUAGGCGCCAAAGCGCCCCCCCUCCCUAAGGCAGUAAGGCGUCGCCUUAAAAACAUAGCUGUUAAUCAGUCAUUUCAAAGUCGAAAGGAAGCACGAAGCGUACAUGAGAUUUCUCUACAGGAGCAUGAUAAAGCCUGGAGCAAGUGAAAUGUCAACUCCGGAUGCCCAGGAGGAUCACAUCAAGUUCAUAAGGAAUCAUCCUGCCCUGCGCUCGUUUCGUCAGAAAAGACUCUUCCUUGAAGACGUCAUCAGAGCUUUCAGAUCAAUGGGACAUGCUGAAAAGAGACGAUUUGCAAAAACCUUGCAAAAGAUAAACGCCGGACCAGAUUGGAGGCUGAUUGCUCAGCGGAAUGCUAGCUUCUCUGGGGUGUUGUUCUUCAAAAGCGUGGGGCAUGUGUUUGUAUAUCAGAAAAGUCAAGAGGACCUGUUCCGUUUUUUUCGCAACUUUUUUGCUCACGGGUCGGACGCUGAACAUGGCGAGGAACUUAUUGGUAACACGGAGGACAUUGACUGUCUUGAUAUGGAAUUGAUGCCAACGUUUGUUAUACAGCUAUUCCAUCAAAUGAUAGUGAAUUCAAACAUGUCUGGGAAGUUCGCAUAUGCAUGGAAGCAUUAUGGGUUGAUUGAGUGAAGAAGUGUGCUGGAGGAGUCAUGGUGGCUGUUGUGACUUGUGGGGCAAGGCGAAGGCUGGUGUUUGUAACACUAGAACAAGAUGUAGAGAUACUGAUUUAGGCUGUUAAUCUUGAGGCCCUUGCUCUGAUGGACGUCCUGAUGGUGUAGGAGUUUUAGGGAAGUUAGUGCGAUUGGCCCUGGGGUGGGCAAGAUAAGAUGCUGUGGUUGUUAGUCUUAGCGCCGGGCCUGAGCGAGUGUUGGUAGGAAAGAUUUGGCUGGCUGUCCGUAAACCUGGGUGAGGGGUUGUAAGGAGUUAACCCUGGCCGGAUGAUGUUGCAUCCGCCGCUGGGAACGCUAGCUUAUGACGUUGUGCGAAUUACGGCAGCAUUUUGAUGUGGAUCUUUUAUCACUG